UACGUAGGGUGCGAGCGUUAAUCGGAAUUACUGGGCGUAAAGCGUGCGCAGGCGGUUCUCCAAGUCCGUUGUGAAAGCCCCGGGCUCAACCUGGGAAUGGCAGUGGAAACUAGGGGACUGGAAUCUGGCAGAGGGGGGUGGAAUGCCGCGUGUAGCAGUGAAAUGCGUAGAGAUGUGGAGGAAUACCGAUGGCGAAGGCAGGUCUCUGGGCUGACACUGACGCUCAUGCACGAAAGCGUGGGGAGCAAACAGG
RNAcentral lists this ribosomal RNA (253 nucleotides) under uncultured bacterium. RNAcentral's name for it is "partial 16S ribosomal RNA". It matches the Rfam family "Bacterial small subunit ribosomal RNA", at positions 524 to 776 of the family's 1533-position model. The record is from RNAcentral.